GAUGAACGCUGGCGGCGUGCCUAAUACAUGCAAGUCGAGCGAACAGACGAGGAGCUUGCUCCUCUGACGUUAGCGGCGGAAGGGUGAGUAACACGUGGAUAACCUACCUAUAAGACUGGGAUAACUUCGGGAAACCGGAGCUAAUACCGGAUAAUAUAUUUAAUCGCAUGGUUCAAUAGUGAAAGACGGUUUUGCUUUCCCUUAUAGAUGGAUCCGCGCCGCAUUAGCUAGUUGGUAAGGUAACGGCUUACCAAGGCAACGAUGCGUAGCCGACCUGAGAGGGUGAUCGGCCACACUGGAACUGAGACACGGUCCAGACUCCUACGGGAGGCAGCAGUAGGGAAUCUUCCGCAAUGGGCGAAAGCCUGACGGAGCAACGCCGCGUGAGUGAUGAAGGUCUUCGGAUCGUAAAACUCUGUUAUUAGGGAAGAACAAAUGUGUAAGUAACUAUGCACGUCUUGACGGUACCUAAUCAGAAAGCCACGGCUAACUACGUG
RNAcentral lists this ribosomal RNA (497 nucleotides) under uncultured bacterium. Its description in RNAcentral is "partial 16S ribosomal RNA". It matches the Rfam family "Bacterial small subunit ribosomal RNA", at positions 28 to 507 of the family's 1533-position model. The record is from RNAcentral.